This 407-nucleotide ribosomal RNA is filed under the name uncultured microorganism. RNAcentral's name for it is "bacterial SSU rRNA". It matches the Rfam family "Bacterial small subunit ribosomal RNA", at positions 509 to 917 of the family's 1533-position model. The record is from RNAcentral.
CAGCAGCCGCGGUAAUACGUAGGGGGCGAGCGUUACCCGGAUUCACUGGGCGUAAAGGGGGUGUAGGCGGCUCGGUAAGUCGGGUGUGAAAUCCCACGGCUCAACCGUGGAAUUGCGCCCGAAACUGCCGAGCUUGGGGCCGGUAGAGGGAGACGGAACUGCCGGUGUAGGGGUGAAAUCCGUAGAUAUCGGCAGGAACGCCGGUGGGGAAGCCGGCCUCCUGGGCCGCGCCCGACGCUGAGGCCCGAAAGCUAGGGGAGCAAACCGGAUUAGAUACCCGGGUAGUCCUAGCCGUAAACGAUGCCCACUAGGUGUGGGGGAGUAUUUCCUCCGUGCUGUAGCUAACGCGUUAAGUGGGCCGCCUGGGGAGUACACCCGCAAGGGUGAAACUUAAAGGAAUUGGCGGG